CCUACGGGAGGCAGCAGUGGGGAAUUUUGCGCAAUGGGGGUAACCCUGACGCAGCAACGCCGCGUGAGUGAUGAGGGCUUUCGGGUCGUAAAGCUCUGUCAAGAGGGAAGAAGUGUAUGAAGGUUAAUACCCUUUAUACUUGACGGUACCUCUAAAGGAAGCACCGGCUAACUCCGUGCCAGCAGCCGCGGUAAU
RNAcentral lists this ribosomal RNA (195 nucleotides) under uncultured bacterium. Its description in RNAcentral is "partial 16S ribosomal RNA". It matches the Rfam family "Bacterial small subunit ribosomal RNA", at positions 338 to 524 of the family's 1533-position model. The record is from RNAcentral.